AGGACUAAAUAAACUCUUCUUGUGUUUAG
Molecule: non-coding RNA, 29 nt
Filed under: Cricetulus griseus (Chinese hamster)
Lineage: Eukaryota; Metazoa; Chordata; Mammalia; Rodentia; Cricetidae
Source: RNAcentral